This 254-nucleotide ribosomal RNA is filed under the name uncultured bacterium. RNAcentral describes it as "partial 16S ribosomal RNA". It matches the Rfam family "Bacterial small subunit ribosomal RNA", at positions 524 to 776 of the family's 1533-position model. The record is from RNAcentral.
UACGUAGGCAGCAAGCGUUGUUCGGAGUUACUGGGCGUAAAGGGUGUGUAGGCGGUUCUUUAAGUUUGCUGUGAAAUCUCCCGGCUUAACCGGGAGGGUGCGGUGAAUACUGAGGGACUAGAGUACGGGAGAGGAAAGUGGAAUUCCUGGUGUAGCGGUGAAAUGCGUAGAUAUCAGGAGGAACACCGGUGGUGUAGACGGCUUCUGGACCGUAACUGACGCUGGAGACACGAAAGCCGUGGGUAGCAAACAGG